UCCGGAAUUAUUGGGCGUAAAGCGUCCGCAGGGGGCGCAUCAAGUCUGCUGUUAAAGGUCGGAGCUAAACUCCGGUAGAGCAGUGGAAACUGGUGCGCUAGAGGGCGACAGGGGUAGAGGGAAUUCCCAGUGUAGCGGUGAAAUGCGUAGAGAUUGGGAAGAACACCGGUGGCGAAAGCGCUCUACUGGGUCGCACCUGACCCUCAGGGACGAAAGCUAAGGUAGCGAAAGGGAUUAGAUACCCCUGUAGUCUUAGCCGUAAACGAUGGAUACUAGGCGUGGUUUGUAUCGACCCAAGCCGUGCCGAAGCUAACGCGUUAAGUAUCCCGCCUGGGGAGUACGCACGCAAGUGUGAAACUCAAAGGAAUUGACGGGGGCCCGCACAAGCGGUGGAGGAUGUGGUUUAAUUCGAUGCAACGCGAAGAACCUUACCAGGGCUUGACAUCCCGCGAAUCUCUCGGAAAGGAGAGAGUGCCUACGGGAACGCGGAGACAGGUGGUGCAUGGCUGUCGUCAGCUCGUGUCGUGAGAUGUUGGGUUAAGUCCCGCAACGAGCGCAACCCUCGUCCUUAGUUGCCAGCAUUAAGUUGGGCACUCUAGGGAGACUGCCGGUGACAAACCGGAGGAAGGUGAGGAUGACGUCAAGUCAGCAUGCCCCUUAUGCUCUGGGCAACACACGUCCUACAAUGGUCGGGACAAAGGGGAGCAAGCUCGCGAGAGUAAGCGAAUCCCAGCAAACUCGGCCUCAGUUCAGAUAGCAGGCUGCAACUCGCCUGCUGAAGGAGGAAUCGCU
RNAcentral lists this ribosomal RNA (792 nucleotides) under uncultured organism. Its description in RNAcentral is "bacterial SSU rRNA". It matches the Rfam family "Bacterial small subunit ribosomal RNA", at positions 544 to 1336 of the family's 1533-position model. The record is from RNAcentral.